UCCAACUUUUUUUUUGGUCUGUUGUUAAAAGCCCCCCUAUCCCAUGCCUAAGUAAUAAGUAAUCUCAAUAUUACAUUCCAUCUCAUAUAAUAAAAUUUGACUUCCUAAAAGGGCUUGCUUCUUUUUAAUUCAAUGUCAAUGCUGGAAUUUCAGUUCUUAGCCUUGAAACCCUGGUGAAAAAAUUCUCAGCAAGGUAAGAAGGAAAAAAAUGUUCUCCCCUGCUCCUGAAGCUGGAGAGAACAAUAAAUGAAAACUGUUGUCAUAAAUGGUUAUUUCUAACAAUUUUUCAAACCCCUAGACUUCAAAUAUUUUGGACAGGACCUGACAAAAUGACCCUUAAUCUGUAAAACAUCUGUACUUUUGACCACUCAUCUUUCUUAAUAAUUCAGUUCUCUGGUGAUAAUGUUUGAGCUUAAAAUCUCUAUCUUCAGAAGGUAACGUGAUUUGUGAAUUUUCUGUCAAAUCAGGAAAGAAUCACUGGCAUUGCCCUCUUCCCACACAUGCAUAGGAUAAAAUAGCUCUACUGGACUUUUUAUUAAUCAAAGAGCCCGAGAGACAGCUGAAUGGCUGAACCAAGCAGAGAGUGGAAACUUGGGGAGGGUAAUUCCUUGCUGGGCCUUAAAAGGAGUCCACAAGAUAGGAAAAAAACGAAAAAGCCAAAUAAGAUGAACCUCUAUUCAGGCCCCAAUGAGAGGCUGCUUGACUCUGAUCUUUCGUUAGCUGGCUCAAAAUUUUGUUCUUAAAGAAUUAUUUUUACUCAAAAUCAAGAACUGUUAGAAAACAAGAAAAAUUAUGGAGUUUUGUUGUUGAUUUCCACCUCUCUACAUAUAUAUAUGAAAUACAUAUCUCCUCCCGAUACACAUGCACACACGCAAAAACAUAUUUAACUGAAACAACGGUUUCAUGAAACUAUAGUUACUCUCAUUACCUGUGAUGCAGGCAAGUAUUUUCAAUUGUAUUUUAUUCUAUUUCAUUCUACUUGGAAAAAAAGUCUUUUGGUCUCAACAUAAAUGGGUUCUGACCUGCAGUUUCAAGCCAAUACGUUACAGUAAGAGUAAAUGUAGGGUUUCUCCCAGUUUUAUCUGGCAGUCCCAAAGUCAGGAUCAGAGUAACCGAUGGAGCAUCAUUUGUACGCUCCACGUCUGAGGAGGAGGUCUGGGAAAAGAUCCAACGUGUAGGACUGGCGCAGAGGCUCAGGCCUGUAAUCCCAGCACUUUAAGAGGUGGAGGCGGGAGGAUAACUUGAGGUCAACAGUUCGAGACAAGCCUGGCAAACAUGGUGAAACCCCGUCUCUACUAAAAAUACAGAAAUUAUCCAGGCGUGGUGGUGCGCACCUGUAGAUCCAGCUCCUCGGGAGGCUGAGGCACGAAAAUCGCUUGAACGCGGGAGGCGGAGGUUGCAGUGAGACAAGAUCACACCACUGCACUCCAGCCUGGGCGACAGAGCGAGACCCUGUCUCAAAUAAAAAAAAUAAUAAUAAUAAUCCAAUGUGUCCCUAGUCUGGCUUUCAGGGUCUUAGAUGAGGUUCGGAAGUGGACUUAGGAGCCUUAGGAGCGCAGCCAGUGCUGUGGAUUCCCACAUCCACGGGACCUGCGGUUUCGGGUUAUUCCAUUCAGGGAUACAUGACGUCCCUCAUUUCUACCUACCAGUGGGCUGGUCAAGAUUCUCAUUUAUCAAGUCAGUUGGAGUGGGCUUAAGUAAGUUCUCAGCCAAGGCUGUGGGGUCUGGAGGACCAGAUAUCCCGACCAAAAGCCCCCCCUCCCAUUCCUUUCACACGCCUGCCGCAGAGGUGCACGGGUGCGAGUGGGGAACUGAGGCAAGAAGCAGAUGGGGCGGCACCGAGAGAAGAGAAACUACGCUAGAGGAAAAGCUCGAGCUGUUACCCCUCCCAACUUCUUCCGCCUUCCGCCUUCCCCCUUCCCCCUCUUUCCCCUCUUGCCCCUCUCCAGCUUUUCUGGUCCAACCCUCUUCUGCGCCUAACACUGGCACCUCCUUUUCUUCCGGCUGAUGAAUAAUUGUCCGCAAACCAGCCUCUCUGGGGCACUGAGGGGCGGGAAGGUUAGAAGGAGCCAGGGCUAGAGUCCUGGAAGGUGGCAGUCAGGUCGCAGGGCCACAGCAGUCACUCUGCGACUCUCUCUUCCGGUGUUUCUCCAGCGCCAAGCGGGAGAAGACGGAGCCUGGGAGCUGGGACUGGAGGAGCGGGAAGCGCAGUAUCGGGACCACGGCUCUGGGACCAGGAAAAACGCAGACUCUCCAGAGUCAAUGUCUACUUCAGCCAGCUCAAGGGCGCGACAACCUGGCGCCGAGCAUCUCAGGCCGCCGCGGGGACCCCCCCUAAGGGACUCGGGAACACCUGCCUACCCUAGAAGAGGCGGAGAAUAACCCCGUAGGGAGUUAAGCGGCCUCUGCCUACAGCGUUCCUCCCGCCUCCACGGCGCCGAGCCCUGAUUGACGUUCAGCCAGGCCAAUCAUAGCCUGUGUCUGAGGCGCGCGGAGCUGGAGCGCCCAGGGCAUGUCCGCCGAUCCCAAGGAGGCAAUCUGUCAGGCGCCGCCCGGGCGGCAGUAUGCCUGAGGGGGUCCUCCGUGUUCGCGCCUCCCGCCGCCUGCACUGAAAGGUCUGUACCUGAGCCUGGAUACUUGAACAGAGGCAGACACUGCGGCUCAAAACCCCAAGGAAUAUCCUAGCUCUGAGACAAAAAUUGGGAACCUCAGCAUGAGUUUGUCACCUGAAUGAAAUAAAAAAAAUCACGUUGAAGGCUGGUGCAGUAACAUGUGCCUGUAGUCCCAGCUACUCUGGAGGCUGAGUCAGGAGGAUCACUUGAGACCAGAAGUUCAGGAAUUCAAGACUGGCUUGAGCAACAUAGCAAGACUUCAUUUCAAAACAAACAGAAAAAAGCCACCACCUUCAGUAUUUCUUGCCAAAGCAAAGGAGCCAUUUGUUCUUUACGAUGGUCAGGAAAGGAAGCAUCAAGGUCAUCAAAUGAAAAAUUUUCAGCAUUUCAGCCUCUCUGCUCAGGGAAAUAUCUGAAUCUAGAAUAUCACAACAUGAGCCAAAACCGCCCCAUUUCUCAUGCCACAUGUCACUCUUAACACAAGGUUACUCAACCUCGAGCAUGGUUGGCAUUUGGGGCUGAAUAAUUCUUUUUUGUAGGGGGCUGUCCUGGGCAUUGUAGGAUGCUCAUGAGCUACCUCAGUCUCUACCACCCACUAGAUGCCAGUAGCAUUGACCCCUGAUCUCUCUACCCAAGUUGUGACAACUAAAACCAUCUCUGGAUAAUGGAGGAACCUUAAAUGCAUAUUGCUAAGGAAAAGCCAAUCUGAAAGGAUUACAUAUUGUAUGAGUCCAACUAUAUGGUAAUCUGGAAAAGGCAAAACCAUGGAGACAGUGAAAAGGUAGUGGUUACCAGUGGUCCAUGGGAAGGGUUGGAUGAAUAGGUGGAGCACAGAGGAUUUUUAAGGCAGUGAAACUAUUCUGAAUGAUACUGUAAUGGUGGAUACAUGUCAUACCUUUGUCAAAACCAAUAAAAUAUAACAACCAAUAAAACUGCACAAAGAGUGAACCCUAAUGUAAACUAUGGACUUAAUAAUGUAUCAAUAUUGGCUCACCAAUUUUAACAAAUGUACCACACUAAUGCAAGAUGUUACUAAUAGUGGAAACUGGAGGGAAGAGGGCUUGAGGGGACAUACGGGAACUCUCUGUAAUUCCUGUUCAGUUUUUCUGUAACUGUUAAACUGUCCAAAAAAAGUCUGUUUUUAUAAAUGGAGGCAUGGUUUUAUAUGGACUAAAAUACUAUGAUUGCCUUUUUAUUUUACACAUGGUGAAAUUAGAGCAGGACAUAUUUUAAACUCAAAAUUCACAAAAUUAAUUUAUGAAAAUGUUUACCCAGAUCAAGAAUAUUAAAGAAACUUAGAUUAAUAUUGUUACCUUGAAUUUAUUUUACUGAGUAAUCCUCUAAGACUCCUCUACACAUUAUUAAUCUAGAAGGAUUUUUAAAGUCUUUAUGACAAUUAAUUAUUGGUCUACAGUCAAAUUGCGUAUCCCCAUUAACUAGAGUUAUAUUUUUCCAUUUUCUGAUCCAAAAACUUUAGGAACAGGAAAUGUUUAUUUUAGAAAACAAGAACACUUCUUAAGCAUUUGCUGUUAACAGUUAUUUUCACAUGUGCUUGUACUUAUUUUACACUUGUCAGAACAUAGUAUUUACCUUUGAACCAAGGUUUUAUAAUAAGCAAGCACUUUUUUUAUUUAGAAGUCACAUUUUCCAAGUAGAAAAAUCAUUAAAAAUUCAGUCCUCUGAAGGCUAAUUUCUUUAAAUCAUUUAACCUAAUUGUUUAAGGUAUAGAUUGGAAUUUUUCUCAGCACUCUCUUGAAAACAGGUGACAGUGGAACCCUGUUAGGUUCACAAAUCCUAGACUUUGAUUAUAUAGCCCAGGCUCAAAUUUUUCUCGAAUGUUACGAACAUUCAAAGCAUUAGGAGUCUUGGUUUCAUUUCUUAAUUUUUUUUCUUCUGGGUAUAUUUGAGACUCAUCUUGGAUUCAAAUAAAUUAAUAAUAGUCUCAUGAAACCGAUAAAAAUGGGAGCUCCAUUGAACAUGAGAGACAUUGAUUCGUAGUUUCUAACAUCCUCCAAAUGAGGAGCCCAUCCCUAAUUUAGAUGCUUCUUUCAAAGGAGGCUCCUUUCCUUCGUUAUCCAUAAUAUAGUCACACCAGUCCUGAAAAAACAUGGAACAGACUCCAGAUCUUUAUAUUUCAUACUCUAAAGUCGUACAAGCCAAUCUGCAUUUCCUCUAGUGGAAACUGUAUAGCUGGUCAUCUUUCCAGGACCCUUUUAUCAAGAAACAAUGCAGCUUCUACAUUUGUGCUGCUUCUACACCAAAACAGCUGGAAUGUAUAUAGUAUGGUUCUGGAUGCUCUUGUAUACCUCACUCUUCAUUUCUCACCUAACCCAUGUGCUAUGAUUUGAAUGUUUCUCCCCUGCAAAACUCAUGUUGAAAUGUAAUUGCCAUGAUAACAGUAUUAAUAGGUGGAAUAUUUAAGAGGUGAUUAGGGUGGGAUUGGUGAUGUUAUAAAAGGGUAAGUUCAGCCCCUUCUUGCUCUCUCUGUCACCCUUCCACCUUCCUCUGUGUGAUGAUGCAACAAAAAAGCCCUUCCCAGAUGCCAGCAUCUUGAUUUUGGACUUCUCAGCCUACAGAACUAUAAGCCAAUAAAUUUCUGUUAUUUGUUAUUAGUCUGUGAUAUUCUGUUACAGUAGCACAAAAUGGACUAUGACACCAUGUGUUUACACAGAAAGAAAAAAAUAUCAUACGGUAAUUGCUCCUAAAUAUGCAGAGAAUAUGUUCUGAUAUCCUUAGUGGAUGCCUGAAACUGCAGAUAGUACCAAACCUUAUAUAUACUAUGUUUUUUUUCCCAUACAUAUGCAUGUUAAAGUUUAUAAGUUAGGCAGAGUAAGAUAUGAACAAUAACUAAUAAUGAAAUAGAAACGUAACGAUGUGCUGUAAUAAAAGUUAUGUGACUGACGCCUCUUUUUCUUCCUCUUUCUUUCAAAAUAUCUUAAUAUUUUCAAGCCAUGGAUAACUGAAACUGCAGAAAGUGAAACUGUAGAUAAACUAUUAACUCUAUUUAAACAAUAAAAGAAUUAUAAUUAUAUUCUUGGGAAAAUUAACAAUUAUCCAAAGUCCCUUUGCAAAGGGAAAAAAAAUGCAUGUAUUGGAAAAAAUCUCAACCACAGGGUUCCCUAAGCUUUGCAAACAACAAAUAGCAUCCACCUAUCCAUCCUCAGAGAGCAACAGUUUUACUGUUAUUUAGAAAAAGCAACUAUUUC
RNAcentral lists this long non-coding RNA (5818 nucleotides) under Homo sapiens (human). RNAcentral's name for it is "non-protein coding lnc-PSMB9-6:2". Lineage: Eukaryota; Metazoa; Chordata; Mammalia; Primates; Hominidae. The record is from RNAcentral.